This 369-nucleotide long non-coding RNA is filed under the name Vigna radiata. RNAcentral's name for it is "long non-coding RNA (VRAD_LNC012137)". Lineage: Eukaryota; Viridiplantae; Streptophyta; Magnoliopsida; Fabales; Fabaceae. The record is from RNAcentral.
GGAGCACGGUUGGAUGUUGGCAUGUGUGAACGCCAUCCAGUAUCGGGCUAAAGGUAUCAUAUCCAACCUCCUAAUAUUCACCGGUGCACCGCUAGCAUUAGUCUGAAAGUGUCUACCAGGAAGACACACAACCUCCUCAAUUUCAGCCACAUUACCAAACAAACCAGCAUGUGUCGCAUACUAGCACUGCUCCCUUGGCCACUCUGUGCCCAAAAAGCUGUUAAUGGUAUCGGGGUCAUAACUGAUAGUCCGCCCCCUCACAAAGCUCGUAUAUCUCCCAGCAGCCACUCCUCCUCUAGGCACCGCGUUGGUGUAGAAUUCCUUCACCAACUCCACACUGGCAGGUGCCGGGUAAGUCGUCAACCUCUC